AGAGUUUGAUCCUGGCUCAGGAUGAACGCUAGCGGCAGGCUUAACACAUGCAAGUCGAGGGGCAGCACGUCUUCGGAUGGUGGCGACCGGCGCACGGGUGCGUAACGCGUAUACAAUCUACCUUUUACAGGGGCAUAGCCCGGGGAAACCCGGAUUAAUAUCCCAUAGUAUCAUGAAGUGGCAUCGCUUUUUGAUUAAAGUUUCGGCGGUAAAAGAUGAGUAUGCGUCCUAUUAGCUAGAUGGUAAGGUAACGGCUUACCAUGGCUACGAUAGGUAGGGGUCCUGAGAGGGAGAUCCCCCACACUGGUACUGAGACACGGACCAGACUCCUACGGGAGGCAGCAGUGAGGAAUAUUGGACAAUGGGCGAGAGCCUGAUCCAGCCAUGCCGCGUGCAGGAAGACUGCCCUAUGGGUUGUAAACUGCUUUUAUACGGGAAGAAACACCCCCUCGUGAGGGGGCUUGACGGUACCGUAUGAAUAAGGAUCGGCUAACUCCGUGCCAGCAGCCGCGGUAAUACGGAGGAUCCAAGCGUUAUCCGGAAUCAUUGGGUUUAAAGGGUCCGUAGGCGGGUGCGUAAGUCAGUGGUGAAAGUCUGCAGCUCAACUGUAGAACUGCCAUUGAUACUGCACACCUUGAGUAAUUAUGAAGUGGUUAGAAUAUGUAGUGUAGCGGUGAAAUGCAUAGAUAUUACAUAGAACACCGAUGGCGAAGGCGGAUUUCUGGUAAUGAACUGACGCUGAGGGGCGAAAGCGCAGGGAGCGAACAGGAUUAGAUACCCUGGUAGUCCACGCCGUAAACGAUGAGUGCUAAGUGUUAGAGGGUUUCCGCCCUUUAGUGCUGCAGCAAACGCAUUAAGCACUCCGCCUGGGGAGUACGGCCGCAAGGCUGAAACUCAAAGGAAUUGACGGGGGCCCGCACAAGCGGUGGAGCAUGUGGUUUAAUUCGAAGCAACGCGAAGAACCUUACCAGGUCUUGACAUCCUCUGACACUCCUAGAGAUAGGACGUUCCCCUUCGGGGGACAGAGUGACAGGUGGUGCAUGGUUGUCGUCAGCUCGUGUCGUGAGAUGUUGGGUUAAGUCCCGCAACGAGCGCAACCCUUGAUCUUAGUUGCCAGCAUUUAGUUGGGCACUCUAAGGUGACUGCCGGUGACAAACCGGAGGAAGGUGGGGAUGACGUCAAAUCAUCAUGCCCCUUAUGACCUGGGCUACACACGUGCUACAAUGGAUAGAACAAAGGGCAGCGAAGCCGCGAGGUCAAGCAAAUCCCAUAAAUCUAUUCUCAGUUCGGAUUGCAGGCUGCAACUCGCCUGCAUGAAGCCGGAAUCGCUAGUAAUCGCGGAUCAGCAUGCCGCGGUGAAUACGUUCCCGGGCCUUGUACACACCGCCCGUCACACCACGAGAGUUUGUAACACCCGAAGUCGGUGGGGUAACCUUUAUGGGGCCAGCCGCCUAAGGUGGGACAGAUGAUUGGGGUGAAGUCGUAACAAGGUA
This 1493-nucleotide ribosomal RNA is filed under the name uncultured bacterium. RNAcentral's name for it is "partial 16S rRNA". It matches the Rfam family "Bacterial small subunit ribosomal RNA". The record is from RNAcentral.